GCCCUUGUGGCGCAACCGGACAGCGCGCGAGUUUCCGAAGCUCGAGACUGCAGGUUCGAAUCCUGCCAAGGGCGCCA
Molecule: transfer RNA, 77 nt
Filed under: Rhodanobacteraceae bacterium
Lineage: Bacteria; Pseudomonadati; Pseudomonadota; Gammaproteobacteria; Lysobacterales; Rhodanobacteraceae
Description: tRNA-Arg
Rfam family: tRNA
About the family: Transfer RNA (tRNA) molecules are approximately 80 nucleotides in length. Their secondary structure includes four short double-helical elements and three loops (D, anti-codon, and T loops). Further hydrogen bonds mediate the characteristic L-shaped molecular structure. tRNAs have two regions of fundamental functional importance: the anti-codon, which is responsible for specific mRNA codon recognition, and the 3' end, to which the tRNAs corresponding amino acid is attached (by aminoacyl-tRNA synthetases). tRNAs cope with the degeneracy of the genetic code in two manners: having more than one tRNA (with a specific anti-codon) for a particular amino acid; and 'wobble' base-pairing, i.e. permitting non-standard base-pairing at the 3rd anti-codon position.
Source: RNAcentral